RNAcentral lists this transfer RNA (73 nucleotides) under Bos taurus (domestic cattle). It matches the Rfam family "tRNA". From Rfam's summary of the family: Transfer RNA (tRNA) molecules are approximately 80 nucleotides in length. Their secondary structure includes four short double-helical elements and three loops (D, anti-codon, and T loops). Lineage: Eukaryota; Metazoa; Chordata; Mammalia; Artiodactyla; Bovidae. The record is from Rfam by way of RNAcentral. RNAcentral also lists the same sequence under 1 other name.
UCCCUGGUGGUCCAGUGGCUAAGACCCUGCGCUUCCAAUGCAGGGGGCCUGGGUUCGAUUCCUAGUCAGGGAA